Molecule: long non-coding RNA, 1059 nt
Filed under: Ananas comosus (pineapple)
Lineage: Eukaryota; Viridiplantae; Streptophyta; Magnoliopsida; Poales; Bromeliaceae
Description: long non-coding RNA (ACOM_LNC029185)
Source: RNAcentral
UGAGCAUAUAUAUUUAUAUUGAGCAUGUUGCAUAGUAUGGUUAAUUGUAAAUUUCUAUUGCAUGAUAUGAGUUCUAAUGCUUGAGAAAUAGUAGUAAAUGAAUGAGAAUUGGUAACCCUAUAUAUGCAUGACAAGGGACAAGAACCUAGAAGGGUCAGUAAACAAAUGUGACAUGUUGACAUAGACAUAGAGUGUGGCAUGAGUACAAGAACCUAGCACUUAGAAAACAAGUGUGGCAUCAAUGACAAAGAACAAGAACAAGUAGUGUACAUGACACUAGUAGAGGUUAGAGAAUGCAAGUGAAUUGGGUUAGUGACAUUAUGACAAAUGCACCUUGGAGUUAAGUAUCAUACGAACAUGGUUCUCCUUGGAGUCAAUGAAUGGAUUGAACUUGGAAUCCUUAAAGUUAAGGAUUGAUCGUACUCACCUAUUAGUCCUUGCUCGAGGGCGGUAGCUCCCCCUCGGGCGAUGUGCUCCGGAGUUGCCAUCACUGGGUCGUAGCGGUUAUCUCCCCAGAGGGCGGUCCCGUCGGGUCGUAGCGGUUAUCUCCCCGACAAUAGGGAUUUGGGUUGGUGAGUUUGUGAGGGCGAAACCUACGGGCUAGCCAUGAGAUUGGGUAAUGAAAAGUUAAUCUUGCAUUCAUCAUGAGCAUUCUAUCGAGCAUAGUUUUACUUAUCGUUCAGGCAUAUUAGCUGCAUUUGUUAGUCGGAUAUUAUCUAUUCUUUCUUCUAUUAUGCCUGAUUAGACCUAGUGGGAUAGUCGGCGUGGUUGGUUGCCGAACCCACUGGGAACUUUGUUGUAGUUCUCACCCCACUAUUUCCACAGAGCCGGGACCGAGCGAGCCGGCAGAUGAUCGCGGUAAGGGCAUCGCGCCCUAGAUAGAGACCGCCCGAGAUGGUUAUCAUUUUGUAGUCGCAUACCCUUUACUAUCAUCUUUUGUAUUUGAUGAUUUUAGUAUCAUGAACUUGCUUUAAUGAAUGAUGUAAAGGAUAUUUAUUUUAAAUGUCAAAAGUUAUAUUUUGGGAGAAAUGAGAUGUAGAAAAGAAAUGAUGCAAGAAU